AGCACCAUGGUUGCCAGAAGAAAUACUGGAUGGAGCCCACAUACAGAGAAGAGAAUAGAGUCAGAAAUCUGAGCAAGGACUGUGGCAGUAAGCCUAGGUAUCGGGAGACAAGAGCCUGAUCAGGAUAGUCAUAGUGGAAACAGAAGUACUAGACAGUCUGAAUCCACACGACUCGGAUUCAAUUGAUAAUUUGAGAGCUAUUUGGGGAGGGGGGCUUUGGACGUAUUGACUUCCAAGUUCCUGCUAGAUUUGGGGUGCACCAGCAGGGGGAAAGCUGAGCCAGGAUGGCAGAACAAGAUCAGAGCUGAAAAUCCAUUGUUUACCGUGUAUCCACCAUUAGUGAUAAUCUGGUAAGGUGAAACACUGGCUCUUCAAACCUGCCAGCUUUAGACUUGAACAACAUAAUCAGUUCUCCUGAGUCUUCAGCUUGCCCACUGCAGCUCCUGGGACUUUUCAGUCUUCAAAAUUGGGCAGAAGGGAUCAUAGCUCCCCAACCGAAGACUGAACCUGACCCUCUGCUUUAGAAGGCCAAGCCUUAACCACUGGACCACCAGGGAAGUCCCAACCCUGACGAAUUAUAUGAUAGUGUAUCAAAGCUGAGGAAUGGUUUUACUACAGGAAAUCAUAGAGAAAACAGGACUCAUCCCAUGGACGGAAACAGUUUCUCUAUUUAGCUGCUGAGGUCCUUGGGAAAGAGGGAAGAAAUAAACGAGAUGCACGAAUGAAUAAAGGGCUUCAAACAUCAAAACACUCUAAAGAGAGCAAUGAAGAUGCAGACUAGAAGAACUUGUGCCUGAGGACUCCAAGUGCCUGGAAAUGGAGAGGAAACGUGAAAGCCAAUUUGCUCAAUUUUAAUUGAGAAAGCAAUGCUUAACCUCCAGUCAUGUUCAAGGCUCUGAGGAAGAUACAGAGAGGAGUAAAACAGUUCCUGCCCUCUUGUUGUUUACAGCUGAACAGAGACAACGGAGUGAACAAAUCACAAGAAAGUGGCUGCCAGGAUUUUCCUGGCAGGUCCAGUGGUUAGGACUCCGUGCUUCCAAUGCAGGGGGCACGGGUUCGAUCUCGGCUCGGUGAACCAAAAUCCCACAUGCUGCUCGGCCAAAAAUAAUAAAAAAUAAACUUACAUGUCCUUGGUCUCAUAACCCCAAGAUUCUGUUUAAAAAAAAAAAA
Long non-coding RNA from Dama dama (fallow deer), 1170 nucleotides. RefSeq lists it as uncharacterized. The transcript is spliced from 4 exons. Lineage: Eukaryota; Metazoa; Chordata; Mammalia; Artiodactyla; Cervidae. The record is from RefSeq and is a predicted model, not a curated record.